UCCGUUAGGUGUAUGGGUUCCACAGA
This 26-nucleotide non-coding RNA is filed under the name Mus musculus (house mouse). The record is from RNAcentral. Lineage: Eukaryota; Metazoa; Chordata; Mammalia; Rodentia; Muridae.